Molecule: ribosomal RNA, 403 nt
Filed under: uncultured bacterium
Lineage: Bacteria
Description: partial 16S ribosomal RNA
Rfam family: Bacterial small subunit ribosomal RNA
Source: RNAcentral
AUUGAACGCUGGCGGCAGGCCUAACACAUGCAAGUCGAGCGAGCGGCGGACGGGUGAGUAAUGUAUGGGGACUGCCCGAUAGAGGGGGAUAACUACUGGAAACGGUGGCUAAUACCGCAUACUAUCGGAUAACCCAUAUGGGAUUAGCUAGUAGGUGGGGGAAAGGCUCACCUAGGCGACGAUCUCUAGCUGGUCUGAGAGGAUGAUCAGUCACACUGGGACGUGGACACGGCCCAGACUCCUUCGGAGGCAGCGGUGGGGAAUAUUGCACAAUGGGCGAAAGCCUGACGCCGCCAUGCCGCGUGUAUGAAGAAGUCCUUAGGGUUGUAAGGUACUUUCAGCGAGGAGGCGUUACCCGCAGAAGAAGCACCGGCUAACCCCGUGCCAGCAGCCGCGGUAAUAC